GCAUUUUCUUAUAGUUCUUAUGGUUCUCCCCAGAACUAUAAAGUGUUCUUUUUUAUAGGCCUCGGAUUUGUCAUUUUUAAAUGAGAUGGGAUAGAGUGAUCUCUAAGGCCAUUUGCAGUUCCUAUGGUCUAUGACCAUGAUGAUUUUACAAGUGUAGAGAAGGCAUGUGAAGUACUUGAUCUGAAACAUGCUAAUGCAGAUAAGUGUUAUGCUAACACUGCUCAUUUAAGAUGCAUGGUGUUAUCCACAUUGCUGAACAAUCACUCUGUUGCUUUGGGGAGAAAAGGAUAGAAUAAGUACCCCAUUGCUUGAGUCAAGCUGGAUGAACCAUUAUCUAGAAGCAAAUGAUUGGAGCCUGGAGGCAGGCCAAGGAACAAGUCCCAAGACUCCCUCUGCCCAAAGCUCCUGGCCUGUGUUGGGCCCCUGAGCACGGAGUCCUCCCUGGCAGAAGGAUGCCUCCUCACCCUCUUCCUGAGGGCUGCCACCAUUCCAGUCAUAGCUCCUUGGAGUCACCAACAAACAUACCUUCUCCUUCUCCUGAUUAUUUUACAUGGAAUCUCACCUGGAUAAUGAAAGACUCCUUCCCUUUCCUGUCUCAUCGCAGCCGAUAUGGUCUGGAGUGCAGCUUUGACUUCCCCUGUGAGCUGGAAUAUUCCCCUCCACUGCAUGACCUCAGGAACCAGAGCUGGUCCUGGCGCCGUGUUCCCUCUGAGGAGGCCUCCCAGAUGGACUUGCUGGAUGGGCCUGAGGCAGAGCGUUCUAAGGAGAUGCCCAGAGGCUCCUUUCUCCUCCUCAACACCUCAGCCGACUCCAAGCACACCAUCCUGAGUCCAUGGAUGAGGAGCAGCAGUGAGCACUGUACGCUGGCCGUCUCAGUGCACAGGCACCUGCAGCCCUCUGGAAGGUACAUCGCCCAGCUGCUGCCCCACAACGAGGCUGCAAGAGAGAUCCUCCUGAUGCCCACCCCAGGGAAGCAUGGUAUCUUCCAGGGACCAAGAAGAAAAGACGAAACACAAGAAAACAGAAAAAUCUGGGUCAAUGUGUUACAUGUUCAUGAUAGGCUUCGUCAGCUUGAGUCCUGGCUUUCUCUCUGAUUGAGUAACUUUGGGCAGAACUACUGGACCAAACUGAAGUCAUCAAACUUGGGCUAAGC
Molecule: long non-coding RNA, 1153 nt
Filed under: Rhinopithecus bieti (black snub-nosed monkey)
Lineage: Eukaryota; Metazoa; Chordata; Mammalia; Primates; Cercopithecidae
Description: lncRNA (ENSRBIG00000045776.1)
Source: RNAcentral